AACUUUCAACAACGGAUCUCUUGGUUCCGGCAUCGAUGAAGAACGCAGCGAAAUGCGAUAAUUAAUGUGAAUUGCAGAAUUCAGUGAAUCAUCGAGUCUUUGAACGCACAUUGCGCCCCCUGGUAUUCCGGGGGGCAUGCCUGUCCGAGCGUC
This 153-nucleotide ribosomal RNA is filed under the name Aspergillus wentii. RNAcentral describes it as "5.8S ribosomal RNA". It matches the Rfam family "5.8S ribosomal RNA". From Rfam's summary of the family: 5.8S ribosomal RNA (5.8S rRNA) is a component of the large subunit of the eukaryotic ribosome. Lineage: Eukaryota; Fungi; Ascomycota; Eurotiomycetes; Eurotiales; Aspergillaceae. The record is from RNAcentral.